AUGGCCAUGGCCACCUUCGCUGCCACUCCCGCGCUCCUCUCUCCCUCACCCCCCUACACCCCGGCCCCUCCACUCCGCGGGCGCCCGCCCCGCCCGCCUCUCCGUCUCGGCCUCCGGCUCCCGCGCCGCCGCCCCGUCACCACCACCACUCCGGCCGCGGCCCACGCUGCGAGCUCCCUCUCCUCCGCCCGCGGCGACCCGCGCGAGGCGGAGGCAGCGGUGGCUGAGCUGCUGCGGGACCACGGCGCGUCGCCGGAGGACGCGGCCGCCAUCGCGGCCCGCGCGCCGGGGUACGCCGCCAUGCUGGCCGACGGCGUCAGGGAGCUCGACGAGCUCGGGCUCUGGGCGUCCUGGAGCGCCGGGGCGGGCGCGCGCGCCGGCGCCGAGAUGGGCGCGCUCGGGUUCGGCAGGAAGGUGUACUUCAUGGGGCGGAGCCGGCGCGACGGCGCCGUCGUUCCCCUCGUCGAGAGCCUCGGCGUGCGCCUCUCCUCCGCGAAGCUCAUCGCGCCCUACGUCGCCGCCGAGGGCCUCCCCGUGCUCAUCCGCAGGGUUAAGUUCUUGAAGGAAAUGCUGUUUUCAAGCAGUGGCUAUGAAACUCUAAUCGGACGGAAUGCUAAGCGCAUGAUGGCACACUUGUCAAUACCCGCAGAUGAGGCACUCCAGAGUACGCUGUCAUUUUUCGAAAAAAUGGAGGCCAGACAUGGUGGUCUGAGCAUGUUGGCACAUGGGGAUGUGUCAUUUCCCUAUCUCAUCGAAUCAUUUCCAGUGCUUCUUCUCUGCUCAGAGGACAAACAUCUUAAGGCAUUAAUUGAUUUCCUUGAACACAUUGGAGUUCCCAAGCCGAGGAUUCCAUCAGUUCUGCUGGCAUUUCCUCCUAUUAUCCUUUCUGAUGUCGAAAAGGAUAUCAAGCCAAGGAUUCAUGCAUGGGAGAAGGCUGGCAUAGAACAGGAAUAUAUUGGUCGGAUGUUGUUGAAGUAUCCAUGGAUUCUUUCUGCAAGUGUGAUAGAAAACUACAAGCAGGCCCUUUUGUUCUUCAACAGAAGAAAGAUUUCCAGUACAUUUCUUGGCAUUGCUGUCAAAAGUUGGCCUCACAUUCUGGGUUGUUCAACAACAAGAAUGAACUCAAUUCUAGUGCUGUUUGAUGAUCUGGGCAUCAGUAAGAAAAUGUUGGUUCCUGUUCUUACAUCAAGUCCACAGUUGCUGCUGAGAAAACCUAAUGAGUUUUUGCAGGUUGUUUCCUUUUUUAAAGAUAUGGGUUUUGAUAAGAUAACAGUGGCAAAGAUUGUCUGUCGUUCUCCAGAAAUUUUUGCUUCAGAUGUGGAGAAUACCCUCAAAAAGAAAAUCAACUUUCUUAUUGACUUUGGUAUUUCUGAGCGUCACCUUCCUCGUAUCAUUAAGAAGUACCCAGAGCUUUUGUUGUUGGACAUAAAUCGCACACUGCUACCAAGAAUGAAUUACUUCCUGGGGAUGGGCUUGUCUAAGAAAGAUGUCUGCUCAAUGAUCUCUAGAUUCUCCCCACUUCUGGGGUACAGUAUUGAGCAUGUUCUGAAACCAAAGAUUGAUUUUCUAUUGCAAACCAUGAAGAAACCACUUAAAGCGGUUGUGGAAUAUCCAAGCUUUAUGAUUCCAUCUGGAUCCGGGAGGCUGUUUUACAGAUGGGAAGCCACUUCUCGAGUCUUCAACAUUCAUAAGACCUUGUCCAUUGGGAUAUCCCCUUGA
Molecule: ribosomal RNA, 1719 nt
Filed under: Triticum aestivum (bread wheat)
Lineage: Eukaryota; Viridiplantae; Streptophyta; Magnoliopsida; Poales; Poaceae
Description: partial small subunit ribosomal RNA
Source: RNAcentral